This 261-nucleotide long non-coding RNA is filed under the name Sorghum bicolor (sorghum). RNAcentral describes it as "long non-coding RNA (SBIC_LNC014738)". Lineage: Eukaryota; Viridiplantae; Streptophyta; Magnoliopsida; Poales; Poaceae. The record is from RNAcentral.
UCAUCAUGAUCUCCACAUCAAGCUUCAUCUCUUUAUAGUCAUGUGGCCACCUUUCCAUGCCACCAUGCACCUUCAUCCAUGUGUUGCUAUGCCUAACUCACAUCACUUAAACACAAGGCAUUAGCAACUUGGUGUUAUUAAUUACCAAAACCAAACUUGGGCUUUCAAGGGUUGAGAAAGGUUGUGGCAAUGUGCCUCUAGAAAUAGAAGGGGAGACUGAGAGAAGACCUUAGGUGAAGCUGAGAAGACGUUUAUUUGUUG